AGUCGUAACAAGGUAACCGUAGGUGAACCUGCGGUUGGAUCAUUACAAAAAGAAGGGCUCUUGAGCCUGACUUUAAAAUGGGGCUGCCUAAAAAACAGCUCUUGACACCCCUUGUGAACUGUGAAUGUCCCUGGCGGGAGUACUUUCGAGUCCCCGCCAGUUUAUUGUCAAACCCCUGUUUAAAAAAGUCUUAGUAAAAUGUAAUAAUUUGAAACAACUUUUGACAACGGAUCUCUUGGCUCUC
This 244-nucleotide unclassified non-coding RNA is filed under the name fungal sp. Its description in RNAcentral is "partial internal transcribed spacer region". The stretch from base 1 to 45 matches the Rfam family "Eukaryotic small subunit ribosomal RNA", at positions 1787 to 1831 of the family's 1831-position model. Lineage: Eukaryota; Fungi. The record is from RNAcentral.